Molecule: ribosomal RNA, 497 nt
Filed under: uncultured bacterium
Lineage: Bacteria
Description: partial 16S ribosomal RNA
Rfam family: Bacterial small subunit ribosomal RNA
Source: RNAcentral
GAUGAACGCUGGCGGCGUGCCUAAUACAUGCCAGUCGAGCGAACGGACGAGAAGCUUGCUUCUCUGAUGUUAGCGGCGGACGGGUGAGUAACACGUGGAUAACCUACCUAUAAGACUGGGAUAACUUCGGGAAACCGGAGCUAAUACCGGAUAAUAUUUUGAACCGCAUGGUUCAAAAGUGAAAGACGGUCUUGCUGUCACUUAUAGAUGGAUCCGCGCUGCAUUAGCUAGUUGGUAAGGUAACGGCUUACCAAGGCAACGAUGCAUAGACGACCUGGGAGGGUGAUAGCCCACACUGGAACUGAGACAGGGUCAAGACUACUACGGGAGGCAGCAGUAGGGAAUCUUCCGCAAUGGGCGAAAGCCUGACGGAGCAACGCCGCGUGAGUGAUGAAGGUCUUCGGAUCGUAAAACUCUGUUAUUAGGGAAGAACAUAUGUGUAAGUAACUGUGCACAUCUUGACGGUACCUAAUCAGAAAGCCACGGCUAACUACGUG